This 1202-nucleotide ribosomal RNA is filed under the name metagenome. RNAcentral describes it as "SSU rRNA". It matches the Rfam family "Eukaryotic small subunit ribosomal RNA", at positions 558 to 1790 of the family's 1831-position model. The record is from RNAcentral.
AGUCUGGUGCCAGCAGCCGCGGUAAUUCCAGCUCCAAUAGCGUAUAUUAAAGUUGUUGCAGUUAAAAAGCUCGUAGUUGAAAUUUUGAUUGUAGCGGUCAGUCUCACAACAGUGAGUGCUAGAUGUGCUGUGGUCAUGUUUCGUUGGAACGUGUGUGGCAUUGAGUUGUCGUGCAUGGGAAGACGAUCGUUUACUGUGAAAAAAUUAGAGUGUUCAAAGCAGGCUUAUGCCGUUGAAUAUAUUAGCAUGGAAUAAUAAGAUAGGACCAGGGUACUAUUUUGUUGGUUUGUGCACCUUGGUAAUGAUUAAUAGGGACAGUUGGGGAUAUUCGUAUUGCGGUGUCAGAGGUGAAAUUCUUGGAUUUCCGCAAGACGAGCUACUGCGAAAGCAUUUAUCAAGGAUGUUUUCAUUAAUCAAGAACGAAAGUUAGGGGAUCGAAGAUGAUUAGAUACCAUCGUAGUCUUAACCAUAAACUAUGCCGACAAGGGAUUGGCAGGGUGUGUUUAUGCCUCUGUCAGCACCUUAGGAGAAAUCAUAAGUUUUUGGGUUCCGGGGGGAGUAUGGUCGCAAGGCUCAAACUUAAAGACAUUGACGGAAGGGCACCACCAGGAGUGGAGCCUGCGGCUUAAUUUGACCCAACACGGGAAAACUUACCAGGUCCAGACAUAGUGAGGAUUGACAGAUUGAGAGCUCUUUCUUGAUUCUAUGGGUGGUGGUGCAUGGCCGUUCUUAGUUGGUGGAGUGAUAUGUCUGGUUAAUUCCGUUAACGAACGAGACCCCCGCCUGCUAAAUAGAUGGUCUAGUGAUUUUUCACUGGAAACAUCUUCUUAGAGGGACGUGCGUUCUAUUAGACGCAGGAAGAUGGGGGCAAUAACAGGUCUGUGAUGCCCUUAGAUGUCCUGGGCCGCACGCGCGCUACACUGAUGCAUUCAACGAGUGCCUUCACCGAGAGGUGUGGGAAAUCUUGGAAUGUGCAUCGUGAUAGGGAUAGAUUCUUGUAAUUUUUAAUCUUGAACGAGGAAUUCCUAGUAAACGCAGAUCAUCAAUCUGCAUUGAUUACGUCCCUGCCCUUUGUACACACCGCCCGUCGCACCUACCGAUUGAAUGGUCCGGUGAAGCCUCGGGAUUGUGAUGACUUUUCUUCAUUGAGAGGUCGUUGCGAGAACUUGUCUAAACCUUAUCAUUUAGAGGAAGGUGAAGUC